RNAcentral lists this ribosomal RNA (388 nucleotides) under uncultured bacterium. RNAcentral describes it as "bacterial SSU rRNA". It matches the Rfam family "Bacterial small subunit ribosomal RNA", at positions 28 to 416 of the family's 1533-position model. The record is from RNAcentral.
GACGAACGCUGGCGGCGUGCUUAACACAUGCAAGUCGAGCGGUAAGGCCCCUUCGGGGGUACACGAGCGGCGAACGGGUGAGUAACACGUGAGCAACCUGCCCUUCACAUCGGGAUAACCCCGGGAAACCGGGGCUAAUACCGGAUACGACCACCGACGGCAUCGUCUGGUGGUGGGAAAGUUCCGGCGGUGGAGGAUGGGCUCGCGGCCUAUCAGCUUGUUGGUGGGGUAACGGCCCACCAAGGCGACGACGGGUAGCCGGCCUGAGAGGGUGACCGGCCACACUGGGACUGAGACACGGCCCAGACUCCUACGGGAGGCAGCAGUGGGGAAUAUUGGACAAUGGGCGAAAGCCUGAUCCAGCAACGCCGCGUGAGGGAUGACGGCC